CGAAGAACCUUACCAGGCCUUGACAUGCAGAGAACUUUCCAGAGAUGGAUUGGUGCCUUCGGGAACUCUGACACAGGUGCUGCAUGGCUGUCGUCAGCUCGUGUCGUGAGAUGUUGGGUUAAGUCCCGUAACGAGCGCAACCCUUGCCUUUAGUUGCCAGCAGUUCGGCUGGGCACUCUAAAGGGACUGCCGGUGUUAAACCGGAGGAAGGUGGGGAUGACGUCAAGUCCUCAUGGCCUUUAUGACCAGGGCUACACACGUACUACAAUGGCCGAUACAAAGGGCAGCGACACUGCGAGGUGAAGCCAAUCCCGUAAAAUCGGUCUCAGUCCGGAUUGGAGUCUGCAACUCGACUCCAUGAAGUUGGAAUCGCUAGUAAUCGUGGAUCAGCAUGCCACGGUGAAUACGUUCCCGGGCCUU
Molecule: ribosomal RNA, 420 nt
Filed under: uncultured Desulfobulbus sp.
Lineage: Bacteria; Pseudomonadati; Thermodesulfobacteriota; Desulfobulbia; Desulfobulbales; Desulfobulbaceae
Description: bacterial SSU rRNA
Rfam family: Bacterial small subunit ribosomal RNA
Source: RNAcentral